UGUGACAAUAUUUACUACGCCAAAUCAAUAUUGGUAGAACGAUUUACUUAUUUUUACAAAAAGUCUCAAAAUUUAAAAUAUGUUUUAAACACUAAAACAAGAGAGAAUAUGCAGUUUUUUUAAGAUUAUUUUUUUUUACUUAAAUUAUACUGUAUUGAUAAUUGAGAUUUUUUUCAAUCUUAAAUCCUAAAAUAUAAUGUAUUGCUUUCAUAAUAUGUUAUUUUUAAAAAUUGACCCUGAAAAAGUGAAUUA
Molecule: long non-coding RNA, 252 nt
Filed under: Lathyrus oleraceus (garden pea)
Lineage: Eukaryota; Viridiplantae; Streptophyta; Magnoliopsida; Fabales; Fabaceae
Description: Pisum sativum (pea) long non-coding RNA (PSAT_LNC030047)
Source: RNAcentral